AAAUACAAAGCUCAUAUCGAAACAAUUAUCAUCGGAUAACCGUUCAGAUCCAGGUUCCCGAAAGUGUCAAUUUCGACACCGGAACUCACCGUCACUCACCUGUCGUCUCCAAACCCUUGAAACGACAUAACUAACCAGCCAAUAUGGCUUAACGACCAAACACAGGACACUCUAAAACCGUCAGAUGAAAUCGAACCAAAAUCGCGUUUUGCCAGCGAAUUUUGCCGAAAAACACACCGAGAUCAAUACUCGAUUUCCGCGAAGAGCAUCAGACCUU
Molecule: long non-coding RNA, 277 nt
Filed under: Ananas comosus (pineapple)
Lineage: Eukaryota; Viridiplantae; Streptophyta; Magnoliopsida; Poales; Bromeliaceae
Description: long non-coding RNA (ACOM_LNC016835)
Source: RNAcentral